UGGCUGGAGCAGCAAGGCUGUCAAUCCCAGGCGGGAGACAAGGCAGACAAAGGUUCAUUUGUAAAGAACCUCCCUCCAGCACCUCCUCUCUUCUCCUUCUGCCCAAACUCACCCAGUGAGUUGGAGCAUUUUAAAAGAUUCCUCUGCCAAGAAGACCAAAAGGAAAGAAGAAAAGGGACCAAAAGCCAAAAUGAAAUUUAUAGUACUUGUCACCAUUGGGCUAACUUUGCUGCUAGGAGCCCAAACCAUGCCUGCAAAUCGCCUCUCUUGCUACAGAAAGAUACUGAAAGAUCGCAACUGUCACAGCCUUCCAGAAGGAGUAGCUCACCUGACAAAGAUUGAUGUAAAUGUCCAGGAUCAUUUCUGGGAUGGAAAGGGAUGUGAGAUGAUCUGUUACUGCAACUUCAGCGAACUUCUCUGCUGCCCAAAAGAUGUCUUCUUUGGACCAAAGAUCUCUUUUGUGAUUCCUUGCAACAGUCACUGAGAAUCUUCAUGUGUUCUGGAGAGCACCAUUGCUAAUUUCCCAGAAACUGCACUAUAUCAAGUAUAACUGCAUUUCUAGUUUCUAUCCAGUGCAAUAAAGCACAGAUUCUAUAAAUUCUUGCUUGUCUAAGACAAGUAAACGUGUGUUAAAUAAGUAGUAAUAAAAAUUAAUUCAAUUUAA
Molecule: non-coding RNA, 664 nt
Organism: Miniopterus natalensis
Lineage: Eukaryota; Metazoa; Chordata; Mammalia; Chiroptera; Miniopteridae
Source: RefSeq, a predicted model, not a curated record